RNAcentral lists this ribosomal RNA (465 nucleotides) under Vreelandella stevensii. Its description in RNAcentral is "partial 16S ribosomal RNA". It matches the Rfam family "Bacterial small subunit ribosomal RNA", at positions 338 to 795 of the family's 1533-position model. Lineage: Bacteria; Pseudomonadati; Pseudomonadota; Gammaproteobacteria; Oceanospirillales; Halomonadaceae. The record is from RNAcentral.
CCUACGGGGGGCAGCAGUGGGGAAUAUUGGACAAUGGGGGGAACCCUGAUCCAGCCAUGCCGCGUGUGUGAAGAAGGCCCUCGGGUUGUAAAGCACUUUCAGUGAGGAAGAACGCCUGGUGGUUAAUACCCAUCAGGAAAGACAUCACUCACAGAAGAAGCACCGGCUAACUCCGUGCCAGCAGCCGCGGUAAUACGGAGGGUGCGAGCGUUAAUCGGAAUUACUGGGCGUAAAGCGCGCGUAGGUGGCUUGGUAAGCCGGUUGUGAAAGCCCCGGGCUCAACCUGGGAACGGCAUCCGGAACUGUCAAGCUAGAGUGCAGGAGAGGAAGGUAGAAUUCCCGGUGUAGCGGUGAAAUGCGUAGAGAUCGGGAGGAAUACCAGUGGCGAAGGCGGCCUUCUGGACUGACACUGACACUGAGGUGCGAAAGCGUGGGUAGCAAACAGGAUUAGAUACCCCAGUAGUC